CGGGAAUAGGAAUGGAGCCAGGCAUGGGAAAGGGAACGUGGACAGGACCGGGGCCUCGUGAGCACGGGCUCGGCGGCAGCUGCGGGCGCAGAGUGCGGGCGGGACGGGCCCGCGUGUGCCGGGGCGCACGGGACGUGCGAAGCCCCCGCCUGCGGCCCCGCGGGCCCCGGGAACUCUCUGAUGACCUGUAAUUAGCCAAUAACUGGCAAUAGGCCCCGUUUGCCGUAAGGAAGUCGUUGAUGCGUCACGUGCACCGGCCCCGCUAUCGCGACAGCGCAUCCCUGUCACCAGCUUGCGUCCAGGUGCCACGGCCCUGGCCAGAGACCACGGUAGGAGCUGGUGGGCUCAGGCAUUGCCUGGUGCAGCCUCACCAAGCCCAGGCUUGAAAAAUACACAGUGAGAGAAAAGGAAGCACUUCAGGUGCUUCAGAGAUGCUAUUGGAAUUCUGUUGUGCUUGUUUGUGUCACUUUUUGGUGCCCUUUUUGCUCUUCAAAGUAGCAAAGUGGAAACCCCCGUUCUUUGGCUGCCUGUUUUCACUCUUAAUGUGCAGGCACUUGGAAAUAUUGCUGAGAUUUCAACCAAUUCCACUUGCCAGUUUCAACUUUAGAAGAGGCUUGAUGGUUUAUUUGUUUGGAGAGUUUGUUUUGGGGUUUUUGUUUGCUUUUUUAUGUAUUUAUAUAAUUAUACCCUUCUUCCUUC
Molecule: long non-coding RNA, 699 nt
Organism: Corvus hawaiiensis (hawaiian crow)
Lineage: Eukaryota; Metazoa; Chordata; Aves; Passeriformes; Corvidae
Exons: 2
Source: RefSeq, a predicted model, not a curated record